UGGGGAAUUUUGGACAAUGGGCGAAAGCCUGAUCCAGCAAUGCCGCGUGUGUGAAGAAGGCCUUCGGGUUGUAAAGCACUUUUGUCCGGAAAGAAAUCCUUGGCUCUAAUACAGUCGGGGGAUGACGGUACCGGAAGAAUAAGCACCGGCUAACUACGUGCCAGCAGCCGCGGUAAUACGUAGGGUGCAAGCGUUAAUCGGAAUUACUGGGCGUAAAGCGUGCGCAGGCGGUUUGCUAAGACCGAUGUGAAAUCCCCGGGCUCAACCUGGGAACUGCAUUGGUGACUGGCAGGCUAGAGUAUGGCAGAGGGGGGUAGAAUUCCACGUGUAGCAGUGAAAUGCGUAGAGAUGUGGAGGAAUACCGAUGGCGAAGGCAGCCCCCUGGGCCAAUACUGACGCUCAUGCACGAAAGCGUGGGGAGCAAACAGGAUUAGAUACCCUGGUAGUCCACGCCCUAAACGAUGUCAACUAGUUGUUGGGGAUUCAUUUCCUUAGUAACGUAGCUAACGCGUGAAGUUGACCGCCUGGGGGAGUACGGUCGCAAGAUUAAAACUUAAAGGAAUUGACGGGGUCAUA
Molecule: ribosomal RNA, 576 nt
Filed under: uncultured bacterium
Lineage: Bacteria
Description: partial 16S ribosomal RNA
Rfam family: Bacterial small subunit ribosomal RNA
Source: RNAcentral